AUUGAACGCUGGCGGCAGGCCUAACACAUGCAAGUCGAACGAGUGGCGGACGGGUGAGUAAUGUCUGGGAAACUGCCUGAUGGAGGGGGAUAACUACUGGAAACGGUAGCUAAUACCGCAUACCAUCAGAUGUGCCCAGAUGGGAUUAGCUUGUUGGUGGGGUAACGGCGCACCAAGGCGACGAUCCCUAGCUGGUCUGCGAGGAUGACCUGCCACCCUGGAACUGUGACACGGUCCAGACUCCUACGGGAGGCAGCAGUGGGGAAUUUUGCACAAUGGGCGCAAGCCUUGUGCAGCCAUGCCGCGUGUAUGAAGAAGGCCUUCGGGUUGUAAAGUAAUUUCAGCGGGGAGGCGUUACCCGCAGAAGAAGCACCGGCUAACUCCGUGCCAGCAGCCGCGGUAAUAC
This 406-nucleotide ribosomal RNA is filed under the name uncultured bacterium. RNAcentral's name for it is "partial 16S ribosomal RNA". It matches the Rfam family "Bacterial small subunit ribosomal RNA", at positions 30 to 526 of the family's 1533-position model. The record is from RNAcentral.